AGUAACACGUGGGUAACCUGCCUCAAAGAGGGGAAUAGCCUCCCGAAAGGGAGAUUAAUACCGCAUAAUAUGUUUUGGUCGCAUGACUAAAACAUCAAAGGGAUUUUUCGGAAUUCCACUUUGAGAUGGACCCGCGGCGCAUUAGCUAGUUGGUGAGGUAACGGCCCACCAAGGCAACGAUGCGUAGCCGACCUGAGAGGGUGAUCGGCCACAUUGGAACUGAGACACGGUCCAG
RNAcentral lists this ribosomal RNA (235 nucleotides) under uncultured bacterium. RNAcentral describes it as "partial 16S ribosomal RNA". It matches the Rfam family "Bacterial small subunit ribosomal RNA", at positions 109 to 334 of the family's 1533-position model. The record is from RNAcentral.